Molecule: ribosomal RNA, 252 nt
Filed under: uncultured bacterium
Lineage: Bacteria
Description: partial 16S ribosomal RNA
Rfam family: Bacterial small subunit ribosomal RNA
Source: RNAcentral
UACGGGGGGAGCAAGCGUUGUUCGGAUUUACUGGGCGUAAAGGGCGGGUAGGCGGCCACCGCAAGUCAGUUGUGAAAUCUCCGGGCUUAACCCGGAAAGGUCAACUGAUACUGCGGGGCUAGAGUGCAGAAGGGCAACUGGAAUUCUCGGUGUAGCGGUGAAAUGCGUAGAUAUCGAGAGGAACACCUGCGGCGAAGGCGGGUUGCUGGGCUGACACUGACGCUGAGCUGCGAAAGCUAGGGAGCGAACGGG